RNAcentral lists this ribosomal RNA (1330 nucleotides) under Serratia rubidaea. RNAcentral's name for it is "bacterial SSU rRNA". It matches the Rfam family "Bacterial small subunit ribosomal RNA", at positions 90 to 1414 of the family's 1533-position model. Lineage: Bacteria; Pseudomonadati; Pseudomonadota; Gammaproteobacteria; Enterobacterales; Yersiniaceae. The record is from RNAcentral.
GACGAGCGGCGGACGGGUGAGUAAUGUCUGGGAAACUGCCUGAUGGAGGGGGAUAACUACUGGAAACGGUAGCUAAUACCGCAUAACGUCGCAAGACCAAAGAGGGGGACCUUCGGGCCUCUUGCCAUCAGAUGUGCCCAGAUGGGAUUAGCUAGUAGGUGGGGUAAUGGCUCACCUAGGCGACGAUCCCUAGCUGGUCUGAGAGGAUGACCAGCCACACUGGAACUGAGACACGGUCCAGACUCCUACGGGAGGCAGCAGUGGGGAAUAUUGCACAAUGGGCGCAAGCCUGAUGCAGCCAUGCCGCGUGUGUGAAGAAGGCCUUCGGGUUGUAAAGCACUUUCAGCGAGGAGGAAGGUGGUGAACUUAAUACGUUCAUCAAUUGACGUUACUCGCAGAAGAAGCACCGGCUAACUCCGUGCCAGCAGCCGCGGUAAUACGGAGGGUGCAAGCGUUAAUCGGAAUUACUGGGCGUAAAGCGCACGCAGGCGGUUUGUUAAGUCAGAUGUGAAAUUCCCCGGGGCUCAACCUGGGAACUGCAUUUGAAACUGGCAAGCUAGAGUCUCGUAGAGGGGGGUAGAAUUCCAGGUGUAGCGGUGAAAUGCGUAGAGAUCUGGAGGAAUACCGGUGGCGAAGGCGGCCCCCUGGACGAAGACUGACGCUCAGGUGCGAAAGCGUGGGGGAGCAAACAGGAUUAGAUACCCUGGUAGUCCACGCUGUAAACGAUGUCGAUUUGGAGGUUGUGCCCUUGAGGCGUGGCUUCCGGAGCUAACGCGUUAAAUCGACCGCCUGGGGAGUACGGCCGCAAGGUUAAAACUCAAAUGAAUUGACGGGGGCCCGCACAAGCGGUGGAGCAUGUGGUUUAAUUCGAUGCAACGCGAAGAACCUUACCUACUCUUGACAUCCAGAGAACUUUCCAGAGAUGGAUUGGUGCCUUCGGGAACUCUGAGACAGGUGCUGCAUGGCUGUCGUCAGCUCGUGUUGUGAAAUGUUGGGUUAAGUCCCGCAACGAGCGCAACCCUUAUCCUUUGUUGCCAGCGGUUCGGCCGGGAACUCAAAGGAGACUGCCAGUGAUAAACUGGAGGAAGGUGGGGAUGACGUCAAGUCAUCAUGGCCCUUACGAGUAGGGCUACACACGUGCUACAAUGGCGUAUACAAAGAGAAGCGACCUCGCGAGAGCAAGCGGACCUCAUAAAGUACGUCGUAGUCCGGAUUGGAGUCUGCAACUCGACUCCAUGAAGUCGGAAUCGCUAGUAAUCGUAGAUCAGAAUGCUACGGUGAAUACGUUCCCGGGCCUUGUACACACCGCCCGUCACACCAUGGGAGUGGG